This 468-nucleotide ribosomal RNA is filed under the name uncultured bacterium. Its description in RNAcentral is "partial 16S ribosomal RNA". It matches the Rfam family "Bacterial small subunit ribosomal RNA", at positions 28 to 507 of the family's 1533-position model. The record is from RNAcentral.
GACGAACGCUGGCGGCGUGCUUAACACAUGCAAGUCGAACGGAAAGGCCCUGCUUUUGUGGGGUGCUCGAGUGGCGAACGGGUGAGUAACACGUGAGUAACCUGCCCUUGACUUUGGGAUAACUUCAGGAAACUGGGGCUAAUACCGGAUAGGAGCUCCUGCUGCAUGGGGGGGGUUGGAAAGUUUCGGCGGUUGGGGAUGGACUCGCGGCUUAUCAGCUUGUUGGUGGGGUAGUGGCUUACCAAGGCUUUGACGGGUAGCCGGCCUGAGAGGGUGACCGGCCACAUUGGGACUGAGAUGCGGCCCAGACUCCUACGGGAGGCAGCAGUGGGGAAUAUUGCACAAUGGGCGGAAGCCUGAUGCAGCAACGCCGCGUGCGGGAUGACGGCCUUCGGGUUGUAAACCGCUUUCGCCUGUGACGAAGCGUGAGUGACGGUAAUGGGUAAAGAAGCACCGGCUAACUACGUG